Rhineura floridana is the source of this 516-nucleotide long non-coding RNA. RefSeq lists it as uncharacterized. The record is from RefSeq and is a predicted model, not a curated record. NCBI's taxonomy places the organism in Eukaryota, Metazoa, Chordata, Lepidosauria, Squamata, Rhineuridae. The transcript has 3 exons.
GAGAGUCUUGAGGCUGGUUCUGUUUACAUUUUCUGCACUGGAACCAAAAGAAUAUAGAUGCAUAUUUCUGCAGAUUAGUACAAGAAAAGACCAAUUCACAACCAUUAAAUAAAAGUUCUGCAGGUCAAGACAAAGGCUGGAUCCUAAAAAGAGCUCAUGGAACGGAGUUGGUAGAAGAGGUCUUGUUCCCACCCUCAGCUGCUCAAGGCCACUAAAGGUCUCUCCUGAGGGUCAGAAGAUCCUCCUGGACAGGGAUUGGUCCCGAGGUCAAACCUUUCAACUGGAAAGGAUCUUUGCUUCAGAUUUAGCCACACUGACGUACAUGUGAAGCAUGCAUUGCUCCCUUUUGCAAAAGUUCUUCAUUUUGCCCCAGUGUUUUGACAUAUUUGUUGGAUGAUCACAGCCAAGACAUUGCCAUCAACAGGCAACAGACAAGGUGGCCACUAUCAUAAAACUGGAUCCAUAAAGGAAGAAGAAGAAAUGAUACUUGGAAGGGAGAAACAUCACAGGCAAAUA